This 22-nucleotide ribosomal RNA is filed under the name Mahatha sp. NB-2010. RNAcentral's name for it is "partial 12S ribosomal RNA". Lineage: Eukaryota; Metazoa; Arthropoda; Malacostraca; Decapoda; Gecarcinucidae. The record is from RNAcentral.
GAAAGUGUAUCUAGGAUUAUAU